Molecule: ribosomal RNA, 460 nt
Filed under: uncultured bacterium
Lineage: Bacteria
Description: partial 16S ribosomal RNA
Rfam family: Bacterial small subunit ribosomal RNA
Source: RNAcentral
CCUACGGGCGGCAGCAGUGAGGAAUAUUGGUCAAUGGACGAGAGUCUGAACCAGCCAAGUAGCGUGAAGGAUGACUGCCCUAUGGGUUGUAAACUUCUUUUAUAUGGGAAUAAAAUGUUCCACGUGUGGGUUUUUGUAUGUACCAUAUGAAUAAGGAUCGGCUAACUCCGUGCCAGCAGCCGCGGUAAUACGGAGGAUCCGAGCGUUAUCCGGAUUUAUUGGGGUUAAAGGGAGCGUAGGUGGAUUGUUAAGUCAGUUGUGAAAGUUUGCGGCUCAACCGUAAAAUUGCAGUUGAAACUGGCAGUCUUGAGUACAGUAGAGGUGGGCGGAAUUCGUGGUGUAGCGGUGAAAUGCUUAGAUAUCACGAAGAACUCCGAUUGCGAAGGCAGCUCACUGGACUGCAACUGACACUGAGGCUCGAAAGUGUGGGUAUCAAACAGGAUUAGAUACCCCAGUAGUC